RNAcentral lists this ribosomal RNA (465 nucleotides) under uncultured bacterium. RNAcentral describes it as "partial 16S ribosomal RNA". It matches the Rfam family "Bacterial small subunit ribosomal RNA", at positions 28 to 507 of the family's 1533-position model. The record is from RNAcentral.
GACGAACGCUGGCGGCGUGCUUAACACAUGCAAGUCGAACGGAAAGGCCCUGCUUGCAGGGUACUCGAGUGGCGAACGGGUGAGUAACUCGUGGGUGAUCUGCCCUGCACUUCGGGAUAAGCCUGGGAAACUGGGUCUAAUACCGGCUAGGAGCCAUUUUUAGUGUGAUGGUUGGAAAGUUUUUUCGGUGUAGGAUGAGCUCGCUGCCUAUCAGCUUGUUGGUGGGGUAAUGGCCUACCAAGGCGGCUGCGGGUAGCCGGCCUGAGAGGGUGGACGGCCACAUUGGGACUGAGAUACGGCCCAGACUGCUACGGGAGGCAGCAGUGGGGAAUAUUGCACGAUGGGCGCAAGCCUGAUGCAGCGACGCCGCGUGGGGGAUGACGGCCUUCGGGUUGUAAACUCCUUUCGCUAGGGACGAAGCUUUUUGUGACGGUACCUAGAGAAGAAGCACCGGCUAACUACGUG